This 253-nucleotide ribosomal RNA is filed under the name uncultured bacterium. RNAcentral's name for it is "partial 16S ribosomal RNA". It matches the Rfam family "Bacterial small subunit ribosomal RNA", at positions 524 to 776 of the family's 1533-position model. The record is from RNAcentral.
UACGAAAGGUGCAAGCGUUACUCGGAAUCACUGGGCGUAAAGGGUGCGUAGGCGGGUCUUUAAGUCAGGGGUGAAAUCCUGGAGCUCAACUCCAGAACUGCCUUUGAUACUGAAGAUCUUGAGUUCGGGAGAGGUGAGUGGAACUGCGAGUGUAGAGGUGAAAUUCGUAGAUAUUCGCAAGAACACCAGUGGCGAAGGCGGCUCACUGGCCCGAUACUGACGCUGAGGCGCGAAAGCGUGGGGAGCAAACAGG